UUAAGUUCAGCGGGUAUUCCUACCUGAUCCGAGGUCAACCUUGAUAAAAUAAAUGAGUAAGACCGGGCCUAGACUCCCGCCUAGUACGUGCUAUAAAAGCUCAUUGUACUGGGGUCCUCACAGACGCCUCAUUAUCUUUGGGACCGGUCUUAGCUAAAGCAUGACCUGAAGUCCAACAGCAAGCCAGGCUUGAGAGGUGA
RNAcentral lists this unclassified non-coding RNA (200 nucleotides) under Capronia sp. RNAcentral describes it as "partial internal transcribed spacer 2". The record is from RNAcentral. Lineage: Eukaryota; Fungi; Ascomycota; Eurotiomycetes; Chaetothyriales; Herpotrichiellaceae.